This 210-nucleotide long non-coding RNA is filed under the name Hordeum vulgare. RNAcentral describes it as "long non-coding RNA (HVUL_LNC004534)". Lineage: Eukaryota; Viridiplantae; Streptophyta; Magnoliopsida; Poales; Poaceae. The record is from RNAcentral.
UAGCUACUAGCUAUGGACCCGAAGGUCUGUGGUGAACUACUCACGCAUCAUCGGAGAGGAAAUGGUGUUGAUGAAGAAGCCCUCCAUGUCCGAAUCCCCCUCCGACAGGGCACCAGAACGUGCCCCACAUGGGAUCUUGCGGAGACAGAAGCUUGCGGCGGAGGAAAAGUAUUUUCGUGGCUCUCACGUGCUUUCAGAUUUUUUGGGGAU